Molecule: long non-coding RNA, 354 nt
Organism: Bombus terrestris (buff-tailed bumblebee)
Lineage: Eukaryota; Metazoa; Arthropoda; Insecta; Hymenoptera; Apidae
Exons: 2
Source: RefSeq, a predicted model, not a curated record
CUAAGAACGAAAUUGCAAUAUAUGGACAGUUAUUUCCAUUGUCACAAUAUUGUCGGAUGACCUAAUACAUACUUCUUACAGAAAGAAAAAAACUGACUAGAAAUGAUAAAAGGCAACAGUCGGAGAGCCGAGAUGGAAGCCGUACACGACCAAGAACUCAUUGCAGAUUAGCCAAUUCCACUCUACCAAUUUUAUGGCUCUGGUAUUAGCAGUCAAACAUCUGAAUCAGUUGCUUUCUACAUCCUAUAACCAUAACCAUGUAUAACCAUCAUCAAACAACUUUGAUCUUAUAGACCAAAAAAUCUUUUACAUAAUAUAAUUUGGAAUAUAUACGACUAUACGCUCUUGCACGAG